GAUGAACGCUAGCGGCAGGCCUAACACAUGCAAGUCGAGGGAGGAGCUUUCGGGCUUCGACCGGCGUACGGGUGCGUAACGCGUAUACAAUCUGCCUUUCACAUAGGGAUAGCCCGAAGAAAUUUGGAUUAAUACCUAAUAGUAUAUAGAUGUGGCAUCACAUUUAUAUUAAAGCUGAGGCGGGGAAAGAUGAGUAUGCGUUCUAUUAGCUAGUUGGAGAGGUAACAGCUCCCCAAGGCGACGAUAGAUAGGGGUUCUGAGAGGGAUAUCCCCCACACUGGUACUGAGAUACGGACCAGACUCCUACGGGAGGCAGCAGUGAGGAAUAUUGGACAAUGGUCGGAAGACUGAUCCAGCCAUGCCGCGUGCAGGAAGACGGCCUUAUGGGUUGUAAACUGCUUUUGCAGGGGAAGAAUAAGGACUACGUGUAGUUUGAUGACGGUACUCUGCGAAUAAGCAUCGCUA
Molecule: ribosomal RNA, 465 nt
Filed under: Capnocytophaga sp. oral taxon 329
Lineage: Bacteria; Pseudomonadati; Bacteroidota; Flavobacteriia; Flavobacteriales; Flavobacteriaceae
Description: bacterial SSU rRNA
Rfam family: Bacterial small subunit ribosomal RNA
Source: RNAcentral